CACCUCCCCAAAGCGCCCGGGAAUUACAAGCGCAAGCUUAAAACCCAAAGGAUUUGACGGUGUCCCACCCACCUAGAGGAGCCUGUUCUAUAAACAAUGAUCCACGAUACACCUCACCAUUUUUUGCCUUCCUCAGCCUGUAUACCUCCGUCAACAGCUUACCAUUUGAGUGCCAUAAAGUAGGUUUAAUAGGCCAUGCACGCCAAUACGUCAGGUCAAGGUGCAGCCCACAAAAUGGAAAGCAAUGGGCUACAAUUUCUAAUACAGAACAAAUGAAAAAUUAUCUGAAAUGAUACUAUGAAAGCGGAUUUAGUAGUAAAAGAAGAACAAUACGCUUCUUUUAACAAGGCCCUGGGACGUGUACAAACCGCCCGUCAUCCUCUUCAACAGUAAACAUAAAAUUCCCUAACACCCAAUUAACACUAGAGAAGAGGCAAGUCGAAACAUGNNAAGUGUACUGGAAAGUGCACUUGGUUAAACAAAGUGUAGCUUAACUAAAGCCCCUCGUUUACACCGAAAAAACGUCUGUUAAACCCAGACCCCUCUGAGCCUUAAAUCUAGCCUAUAUUUUUCCUAUGACCCCUCCACCCUAAUCAAAUAUAAAAAACUUUUUGACAGCUCAA
This 623-nucleotide ribosomal RNA is filed under the name Gephyromantis mitsinjo. Its description in RNAcentral is "partial 12S ribosomal RNA". The stretch from base 1 to 486 matches the Rfam family "Bacterial small subunit ribosomal RNA", at positions 853 to 1533 of the family's 1533-position model. The record is from RNAcentral. Lineage: Eukaryota; Metazoa; Chordata; Amphibia; Anura; Mantellidae.